AGAGUUUGAUCCUGGCUCAGAAUCAACGCUGGCGGCGUGCCUAACACAUGCAAGUCGAACGAGAAAGUGGGGGCAACCCUGCGAGUACAGUGGCAGACGGGUGAGUAACACGUGAACAACCUACCCUUGAGUGGGGAAUAACACCGCGAAAGCGGUGCUAAUACCGCAUAAAAUCUUCGGGUCGCAUGACGUGGAGAUCAAAAGCGCAAGUUGCUUGAGGAGGGGUUCGCGGCUGAUUAGCUAGUUGGUGAGGUAACGGCCCACCAAGGCAACGAUCAGUAGCCGGCCUGAGAGGGCGAACGGCCACACUGGAACUGGGACACGGUCCAGACUCCUACGGGAGGCAGCAGUGGGGAAUUUUGCGCAAUGGGCGAAAGCCUGACGCAGCAACGCCGCGUGGAGGAUGAAGGCCUUCGGGUCGUAAACUCCUGUCGAUGGGGACGAAGUUCUCGCAAGAGGAUUGACUGUACCCGUUGAGGAAGCCACGGCUAACUCCGUGCCAGCAGCCGCGGUAAUACGGGGGUGGCAAGCGUUGUUCGGAAUUACUGGGCGUAAAGGGCGCGUAGGCGGCAUAACAAGUCAGAUGUGAAAGCCCCGAGCUCAACUCGGGAACUGCAUCUGAAACUGUAUUGCUUGAGUUCUGGAGGGGGUAGUGGAAUUCCCAGUGUAGCGGUGAAAUGCGUAGAUAUUGGGAGGAACACCUGCGGCGAAGGCGGCUACCUGGACAGUGACUGACGCUGAGGCGCGAAAGCUAGGGGAGCGAACGGGAUUAGAUACCCCGGUAGUCCUAGCCGUAAACG
RNAcentral lists this ribosomal RNA (800 nucleotides) under uncultured bacterium. Its description in RNAcentral is "bacterial SSU rRNA". It matches the Rfam family "Bacterial small subunit ribosomal RNA", at positions 8 to 808 of the family's 1533-position model. The record is from RNAcentral.